CCUACGGGUGGCAGCAGUGAGGAAUAUUGGUCAAUGGACGCAAGUCUGAACCAGCCAUGCCGCGUGCAGGAAGACGGCUCUAUGAGUUGUAAACUGCUUUUGUACGAGGGUAAACGCAGAUACGCGUAUCUCUCUGCAAGUAUCGUACGAAUAAGGAUCGGCUAACUCCGUGCCAGCAGCCGCGGUAAUACGGAGGAUUCAAGCGUUAUCCGGAUUUAUUGGGUUUAAAGGGUGCGUAGGCGGUCGGAUAAGUUAGAGGUGAAAUCCCGAGGCUCAACUUCGGAAUUGCCUCUGAUACUGUUAGGCUAGAGAGCAGUUGCGGUAGGCGGAAUGUAUGGUGUAGCGGUGAAAUGCUUAGAGAUCAUACAGAACACCGAUUGCGAAGGCAGCUUACCAAGCUACGUCUGACGUUGAGGCACGAAAGCGUGGGGAGCAAACAGGAUUAGAUACCCCAGUAGUC
Molecule: ribosomal RNA, 460 nt
Filed under: uncultured bacterium
Lineage: Bacteria
Description: partial 16S ribosomal RNA
Rfam family: Bacterial small subunit ribosomal RNA
Source: RNAcentral